AUUGAACGCUGGCGGCAUGCCUAACACAUGCAAGUCGAGCGAGCGGCGGACGGGUGAGUAAUGUAUGGGGACUGCCCGAUAGAGGGGGAUAACUACUGGAAACGGUAGCUAAUACCGCAUACUAUCGGAUAACCCAUAUGGGAUUAGCUAUUAGGCUAGGUAAUGGCUCACCUAGACGACGCUCCCUAGCUGGUCUGAGAGGCUGAUCAGCCACACUGGGACUAGGACACGGCCCAACCUCCUACGGAGGCAGCAGUGGGGAAUAUUGCCCAAUGAGCGAAGUCCUGAUGCAGCAAGGCCGCGGGUAUAAAGAAGGCCCUGGGGUUGUAAAGUACUUUCAGUCGGGAGGCGUUACCGACAGAAGAAGCACCGGCUAACUCCGUGCCAGCCGCCGCGGUAAUAC
This 403-nucleotide ribosomal RNA is filed under the name uncultured bacterium. RNAcentral describes it as "partial 16S ribosomal RNA". It matches the Rfam family "Bacterial small subunit ribosomal RNA", at positions 30 to 526 of the family's 1533-position model. The record is from RNAcentral.